RNAcentral lists this long non-coding RNA (453 nucleotides) under Malus domestica (apple). RNAcentral's name for it is "long non-coding RNA (MDOM_LNC019633)". The record is from RNAcentral. Lineage: Eukaryota; Viridiplantae; Streptophyta; Magnoliopsida; Rosales; Rosaceae.
GUGAGCGUGGCCUUGUCACCCACGCUUGUCGGCAGAAGUGCGGUAGUUGGCGUAAUGGACUUCACCCGUUUUCAACUUUGUCAGUGAUCUCUGACAAAGUUGCACGUGAUAGCCGAAAGCUGAGAUUGUGUCUGAAAAGUGUCGACGGACUUUACGCAGGAAAAUCCAGGUUUUGAAAUUCGGAGAGUGGUGUCUCUUCAAUUUAUGAACGAAUGGUUGUGCUGCCUCUCCUUUUAAAGAGGUGUCAAUUGUAUUCAACAUGCACAAUUUGAAGAUUGCCUGCCCGUGAAAAAUUAUCUCUGCUACUCUUUACUUCAUCCAACCUUUUUCUUUUGGUAUUUUUGAAAAUGGCUUCCCCUUUUAACAUUUGCUUAGAUUUGAGUCUUAGCAGUGACACAGGUGCACUGCGUCAGGGUAAUGUAUGGCGCCCGUCUUUUUUUUCUUCUAAUGGCC